ACGCUGGCGGCAGGCCUAACACAUGCAAGUCGAGCGGAUGAAGGGAGCUUGCUCCCUGAUUUAGCGGCGGACGGGUGAGUAAUGCCUAGGAAUCUGCCUGGUAGUGGGGGAUAACGUUCCGAAAGGAACGCUAAUACCGCAUACGUCCUACGGGAGAAAGCAGGGGACCUUCGGGCCUUGCGCUAUCAGAUGAGCCUAGGUCGGAUUAGCUAGUUGGUGAGGUAAUGGCUCACCAAGGCGACGAUCCGUAACUGGUCUGAGAGGAUGAUCAGUCACACUGGAACUGAGACACGGUCCAGACUCCUACGGGAGGCAGCAGUGGGGAAUAUUGGACAAUGGGCGAAAGCCUGAUCCAGCCAUGCCGCGUGUGUGAAGAAGGUCUUCGGAUUGUAAAGCACUUUAAGUUGGGAGGAAGGGCAGUAAGUUAAUACCUUGCUGUUUUGACGUUACCGACAGAAUAAGCACCGGCUAACUUCGUGCCAGCAGCCGCGGUGAUACGAAGGGUGCAAGCGUUAAUCGGAAUUACUGGGCGUAAAGCGCGCGUAGGUGGUUCGUUAAGUUGGAUGUGAAAGCCCCGGGCUCAACCUGGGAACUGCAUCCAAAACUGGCGAGCUAGAGUACGGUAGAGGGUGGUGGAAUUUCCUGUGUAGCGGUGAAAUGCGUAGAUAUAGGAAGGAACACCAGUGGCGAAGGCGACCACCUGGACUGAUACUGACACUGAGGUGCGAAAGCGUGGG
This 737-nucleotide ribosomal RNA is filed under the name uncultured bacterium. Its description in RNAcentral is "bacterial SSU rRNA". It matches the Rfam family "Bacterial small subunit ribosomal RNA", at positions 33 to 765 of the family's 1533-position model. The record is from RNAcentral.